UACGUAGGGUGCAAGCGUUGUCCGGAAUGAUUGGGCGUAAAGCGUCCGCAGGUGGCUAUGUAAGUCUGCUGUUAAAGAGUGAGGCUCAACCUCAUAAGAGCAGUGGAAACUACAUAGCUAGAGUGCGUUCGGGGCAGAGGGAAUUCCUGGUGUAGCGGUGAAAUGCGUAGAUAUCAGGAAGAACACCGGUGGCGAAAGCGCUCUGCUAGGCCGCAACUGACACUGAGGGACGAAAGCUAGGGGAGCGAAUGGG
This 253-nucleotide ribosomal RNA is filed under the name uncultured bacterium. RNAcentral's name for it is "partial 16S ribosomal RNA". It matches the Rfam family "Bacterial small subunit ribosomal RNA", at positions 524 to 776 of the family's 1533-position model. The record is from RNAcentral.